GCUGUGGGCAUCUGGCACUGCGGCUCCUGCAUGAAGCCCGUCGCGGGCGGCGCCUGGACCUACAACAGCACUUCUGCUGUCACAGUGAAGUCUGCC
This 96-nucleotide microRNA precursor is filed under the name Erinaceus europaeus (western European hedgehog). Its description in RNAcentral is "miRNA (ENSEEUG00000016041.1)". Lineage: Eukaryota; Metazoa; Chordata; Mammalia; Eulipotyphla; Erinaceidae. The record is from RNAcentral.